Molecule: ribosomal RNA, 497 nt
Filed under: uncultured bacterium
Lineage: Bacteria
Description: partial 16S ribosomal RNA
Rfam family: Bacterial small subunit ribosomal RNA
Source: RNAcentral
GACGAACGCUGGCGGCGUGCCUAAUACAUGCAAGUAGAGCGCUGAAGAGAGGAGCUUGCUCUUCUUGGAUGAGUUGCGAACGGGUGAGUAACGCGUAGGUAACCUGCCUUGUAGCGGGGGAUAACUAUUGGAAACGAUAGCUAAUACCGCAUAACAAUGGAUGACACAUGUCAUUUAUUUGAAAGGGGCAAUUGCUCCACUACAAGAUGGACCUGCGUUGUAUUAGCUAGUAGGUGAGGUAAUGGCUCACCUAGGCGACGAUACAUAGCCGACCUGAGAGGGUAAUCGGCCACACUGGGACUGAGACACGGCCCAGACUCCUACGGGAGGCAGCAGUAGGGAAUCUUCGGCAAUGGGAGCAACCCUGACCGAGCAACGCCGCGUGAGUGAAGAAGGUUUUCGGAUCGUAAAGCUCUGUUGUAAGUCAAGAACGGGUGUGAGAGUGGAAAGUUCACAAUGUGACGGUAGCUUACCAGAAAGGGACGGCUAACUACGUG